GAUGAACGCUGGCGGCGUGCCUAAUACAUGCAAGUCGAGCGAACGGACGAGAAGCUUGCUUUUCUGAUGUUAGCGGCGGACGGGUGAGUAACACGUGGAUAACCUACCUAUAAGACUGGGAUAACUUCGGGAAACCGGAGCUAAUACCGGAUAAUAUUUUGAACCGCAUGGUUCAAAAGUGAAAGACGGUCUUGCUGUCACUUAUAGAUGGAUCCGCGCUGCAUUAGCUAGUUGGUAAGGUAACGGCUUACCAAGGCAACGAUGCAUAGCCGACCUGAGAGGGUGAUCGGCCACACUGGAACUGAGACACGGUCCAGACUCCUACGGGAGGCAGCAGUAGGGAAUCUUCCGCAAAGGGCGAAAGCCUGACGGAGCAACGCCGCGUGAGUGAUGAAGGUCUUCUGAUCGUAAAACUCUGUUAUUAGGGAAGAACAUAUGUGUAAGUAACUGUGCACAUCUUGACGGUACCUAAUCAGAAAGCCACGGCUAACUACGUG
Molecule: ribosomal RNA, 497 nt
Filed under: uncultured bacterium
Lineage: Bacteria
Description: partial 16S ribosomal RNA
Rfam family: Bacterial small subunit ribosomal RNA
Source: RNAcentral